Cannabis sativa is the source of this 352-nucleotide long non-coding RNA. RefSeq lists it as uncharacterized. The transcript has 2 exons. The record is from RefSeq and is a predicted model, not a curated record. Lineage: Eukaryota; Viridiplantae; Streptophyta; Magnoliopsida; Rosales; Cannabaceae.
GUCCAAGACAACCUAAAAGCCAAGAAUGCGGUUUUUAUGUUUUGAAAUAUAUCACUGACAUCGUCGCACGUGCCAACCCCAACCGUUACAUAGAAGAUCAAAAAGCUUUUGGGGGUAAGAAGCAAUACGAUCCAAAAACAGAAUUGUUACCACUACAGCGAAAGUGGAUCGAACAAUUGAUGGCGGUGAUUCACGGUGACGAUUGAGGUUCAAAGGUCGAAGAAUUUUUCUUCAUUAUGUAAUUUUUAUAGAUUAACUUGUAAUUAGAUUUAUUAACUUAUUAAUAUUUUUAACUAAUUUUACAUGUUUGUGUAAUAUUUAAUUAUUUUUAUGAAAUCAAAUUAUAUUUUUA